UCUAAACAUCAUCUUAUUGCAGCAGAUGAUGUUAAUUGUCUUCAUUUUAUACUGUGAAACAUCUUUGUUGAUGUCACUGUUUUGGGGAGUUGGCCACCGACAGGAGUUCCCAUCAAAAGUGCUUUAUGGUACUUGCACAGCACCUAUAGUGGCUAGAAAUCCUCUUGUUCCUUUGUUGCCUGAUUGUUAUGAAAGGGAGCUGAAAGUGUGUAUUCUUUGUGAUUCUUGAAAAGCUUCAGGGCCUUGUUAAAAUCCCACUCAGCCUGCCUUGGACAGAAUCACAGCCUGAAGCACCACCAGCCAGCCAGUGCCGUGCUCUCUGUGAGGGUUGUUAGCAGCACCCAAGAUAAUUUUCCAUGGGAGUUGGGGAACUCAUAGGUACUGGAAAAAAUGCAGCCAAGAGCCUCUAAAGUUGCAGCAGGAUGAAGGAGAUGUCCCCCAAGGAGCAGAUGUUUGAGUACCCCAGGGUGUAGAACCCAAUGUGUGUGUGGUAACAAGAGUUACAGUUCAAGGUCAGGUUCUCUUUUAUAUGAGUUCUGAAAUCUUCAUUUCGUAGCAUUUAAGUGCUUGGCUUUGAAGAAGAGAAGCUUUUUGCAGGCUGUACUUUUUCAGUGUUCCACAUGCCUGUCUUUGCAGGAGUACAAAAUCCCACUUCAUGGCACCAGUAGAAAGGGAAGAUUUACAUAGGUGCACACCUGGAUGGAAAGUGUACUUCUGAUCCUGGCAGACACCACACACUGAAACAAAACUGAACUGCUGAAAAUGUUCUGAUAUAUCCAGUGAAGUGCAGUGCACAGACAGAAUGGAAACGAAAGAGAGGAAAUGGAGGCACAGCUCCCUGCAUGCAUGAGAAAAGCCAGCAAGAAAGGCUCAGGAUACUGAGAGGAAGGCAGGGACCGAAACUGCUCCUAAACACCACCUGCGCAGAGGGAAAUAAAGGAGAUAGGGAUCAUGUUCACAGGCACAGAAAAUCCCAGGGUGGUGUUUUCCUGAGAGUGGGAGCUGGGGAGGCAGCUGUACUGUACACUCUGGGUAUUUUAAAGGACGAAGCCUUGUGUUUUUUCUCCUCCCCUUCUGCUAUUCACAGUUGUGUUUGGAUACUGGAAAAGCUGAAUUAAUGAGACAAAUUCCAAAUGUGUUGAUUCACGGUUGUGCUGAGCUCUAGUGAAAUGACUUGAUGACUAAUUCGUACCUGAAACUGUCCAGACUGGAAUAUCGUGGAGGCUCCUGCUUUCCUUGCAGUGGAGUCAGAGUUACUCCUCUGUACUUUAGUGUGCAGGAUUGAAUCGUACUCGAGGUCUCAGCCAUGAGAGCAGGGAGUACAGGCUGAAGUGCAUUGAAUGAGUUGUGCCUGGUGAAUUGAGCUCUUUUCCCUUUUCCCCCAGAAUGGCAGCAGCACCAGCAGCUCCCAUGUCGGGAUGAAUGCUAACACUCUCUGCAAAUGCCUUGUGGUGGCACAAAGGGCUCGAUGGCAGAGGCUUCAAAGGCAUUAUUCCUCUUCCAUCGCUGCCUUUGUCCUUCUUUCAAGCGGAUAACUCACAUAUUUGCACUGACUGCUCCAGAGAGCUGGGAGCAGAAGCAACAGCAUGAAACUAAUGUGAUGCUUUAGAAUUUCCCUGCCACUUACUGGGUGUUGAAUAGCUGUAAUUAAAUUAACCAGUAUAUUGAUUUCAGCACGCUGCUUGGGAAAGAGCAGAGCAGGAGCACAGGCAUGGGAGCUGUGGCUUGGGAAUCUAGAGCAGACUAAUAAACUAAUGAUGGUUAUCCUCUCCAAUCUGGUUGGGCCUUGAUGAAAUAAGUUGAUGGCCUUGCAGAGUAAUUCCUAAUAACAAAAAAAAAAAAAAUACUAAGCUCUGUAGGUUUAGAGAUGGCCACAGGAGUGAACAGGCCUGUCUUGGUUUGCUUAGAGCUUGGUUUUGUGUUAAACAAUCUGUGUCACUGAUGAGAGUGUUCAAAACAUCUCAAAAGAUGUGGACAGUCCAUCAUCCCUUCAGCAAUCCCUUCGGGCACAGAACUAGGAGUACAGACUUAAAGGCUGAGGGAUCUGAAGUGGGUGUUUUUUCAUGUUUUAAGAACUUUUAUUCCAUUUUCAGUCUCAUAUGAAAAGUAUAACAAUACAAAUGUUAUAAUUCACACCAUUACAAUCAAAAACCAACUAUUUCUUAAUUACAAUACACUGUAAACAUUUCUUAACCUAUCAACUUUUACCACACUAUACCACAAAUACCUUAAAAUCAAUCAUCUAAAAUUUCCUCUCAUACGUCCUACUACAAAAGCUUUCAUAGUUCUAUUUCUCUAAAAUAUCUAAUCUUUUUUACAAAACCACCUUUUAAAACUUAUUUCUAAUUCUAUUUCUCUCUCAACAAUAUCUGUCCUAUUCCAUAACAUUUCUAAAUAAACAUUUCUUAUCUCAAAA
Haemorhous mexicanus (house finch) is the source of this 2416-nucleotide long non-coding RNA. RefSeq lists it as uncharacterized. The transcript has 2 exons. NCBI's taxonomy places the organism in Eukaryota, Metazoa, Chordata, Aves, Passeriformes, Fringillidae. The record is from RefSeq and is a predicted model, not a curated record.